RNAcentral lists this ribosomal RNA (382 nucleotides) under uncultured bacterium. RNAcentral describes it as "bacterial SSU rRNA". It matches the Rfam family "Bacterial small subunit ribosomal RNA", at positions 30 to 416 of the family's 1533-position model. The record is from RNAcentral.
AUUGAACGCUGGCGGCAUGCCUAACACAUGCAAGUCGAACGGAGAUAGGGGCAACCUUAUUUCAGUGGCGGACGGGUGAGGAAUGCGUCGGAAUCUGCCCUAUGGUGGGGGAUAACACAGGGAAACUUGUGCUAAUACCGCAUAAUGUCGAGAGACCAAAGCAGGGGACCGCAAGGCCUUGCGCGAUAGGAUGAGCCGACGCCCGAUUAGCUUGUUGGUAGGGUAAUGGCCUACCAAGGCGACGAUCGGUAGCUGGUCUGAGAGGAUGAUCAGCCACACUGGGACUGAGACACGGCCCAGACUCCUACGGGAGGCAGCAGUGGGGAAUAUUGGACAAUGGGCGCAAGCCUGAUCCAGCAAUGCCGCGUGUGUGAAGAAGGCC